AUGAAGAACAGCAAAGGAGCUCUCCUCGCGGCCAUGCUGUUGCUGGUGAUCUCUUCUGCUGCUGCUGGCAGAGAUGCUCCAGCAGCCAUCGCCAAGGAGAACCAUUUGGGCACCACGCUCGAGCAAAACGGCGGCUUCUCUGAAUCGAAGGGGAUCGCCGUCCGUGAACCGAUAUUCCGUCCGCCUAUGAACCCACCCUGUGCGUCCAAGGUCGCACGCACAAGCGGGGGCGCCAAGGAAGAGAGACUUUGUUAA
This 255-nucleotide ribosomal RNA is filed under the name Triticum aestivum (bread wheat). RNAcentral describes it as "partial small subunit ribosomal RNA". Lineage: Eukaryota; Viridiplantae; Streptophyta; Magnoliopsida; Poales; Poaceae. The record is from RNAcentral.